UGACCAGCUCAUUUUGCAGACAGCAGU
Molecule: non-coding RNA, 27 nt
Filed under: Mus musculus (house mouse)
Lineage: Eukaryota; Metazoa; Chordata; Mammalia; Rodentia; Muridae
Source: RNAcentral